CGUGCCUGUGAGGAAGAAACUGGAGCAAAAAAGAUGGAAACCCCAGCAAGGACGAUGAGAAAUGCUGGAGUCCUUCAUCCGAAUGGUAAAUGGCACUUGUGACAAAAAUCAAAGUAACUAAAAAAGAAUCUGGUUGAAACCUCAGUAACAGUUGGCCUGUCUACUGCCUCACACUAACAAGGGGGAGCUAAUAAAACCGAGGUUAGAACACACAAUGUGGAAAUGAAAACCUUAUUCUUGUCAAUGGAUGGAGGGUGGCCUGUACAAGAAACAUGGUGCCAGCAUCUGCUUCUGGUGAGGACUGCAGGAAGCUUCCAAUCAUGGUCCAAAAAAUGCGGAGCCUGCGUGUCACGUGAUAAGAGAUGGAGCGUGAGAAAGAGGCAGGAGGAGAAAGUGACCCCCACCUUUACAAGUGUCUGUAAUUCUCACUAGCAGUAUAUUAGAGGGCAAAAGAUUUGAACAGACACAUCAGAAAAGAAGACAUACAAAUGGCCGCUAAGCACUUGAAAGGAUUCUGAACACCAUUAGUCAUCAGUGAAAUGCAAAUUAAAGCCAUAAUGAAUGGCGCUAUACAUUUUCAGAAUGGCAAGGAUUGAAGACCGAAAAAAAUCAAGCGUUGAGGAGAGUGACAAAUGGGGAGACAGCCGUGGUGCAUGAUCGCCGAAUAAAUACCAUGUGAGGAUACAGCAAGAAGGUGGCCAUCUACAAGCCAAGGAGACAGGCCUCAGAAGAAACCAACCCUUCUUACACCCUGGACUCAGACUUCUAAUCUCCAGAACUUGUUAAUGCACAAGGUCUUGUGUUGAAAAUGUAGAGCCACGAGAUAAAAGCAGCUUGGAUGGCUGACUCAUAUACAAGGACAACUGCCUGAGAGUCACCAGGGCUAUCAAGAAGUUUGCAGAAACAAGAAAUAAACUUUUACUGUUUUAAACUUUUGUGAAUUUUGGGUUUUGUUUAUCACCAAAUAAACCUAGUCUAUUCUGAUUGUUAUAAGUGGUUAAUUUGGGAAGUCAGAUAUAUUUAAAAUUGGCUUACUGCUGUAACAUAUACAGUCCAAAUUACAUAAUGGCUCAAAUGCAAUAGAAGUCUUUUUUUUUUUUGCUCACAUAUCACUUCACUGAGAUUCUGCAUUAAUUGUAAUGAUGAGGGUGAGGGUGUCU
Molecule: long non-coding RNA, 1160 nt
Filed under: Homo sapiens (human)
Lineage: Eukaryota; Metazoa; Chordata; Mammalia; Primates; Hominidae
Description: HSALNT0066334
Source: RNAcentral